RNAcentral lists this ribosomal RNA (253 nucleotides) under uncultured bacterium. RNAcentral describes it as "partial 16S ribosomal RNA". It matches the Rfam family "Bacterial small subunit ribosomal RNA", at positions 524 to 776 of the family's 1533-position model. The record is from RNAcentral.
UACGGGGGGGGCAAGCGUUGUUCGGAAUUACUGGGCGUAAAGCGCAUGUAGGCGGCCUAGCAGGUCGGAUGUGAAAUCCCUCGGCUCAACCAAGGAAGUGCAUUCGAAACCGCAAGGCUGGAGUCCCGGAGAGGAUGGUGGAAUUCUCGGUGUAGAGGUGAAAUUCGUAGAUAUCGGGAGGAACACCAGUGGCGAAGGCGACUACCUGGCCUGUUCUUGACGCUGAGGCGCGAAAGCUAGGGGAGCAAACGGG